Molecule: ribosomal RNA, 508 nt
Filed under: Glomus sp. Glo8
Lineage: Eukaryota; Fungi; Glomeromycota; Glomeromycetes; Glomerales; Glomeraceae
Description: SSU rRNA
Rfam family: Eukaryotic small subunit ribosomal RNA
Source: RNAcentral
AGCAGCCGCGGUAAUUCCAGCUCCAAUAGCGUAUAUUAAAGUUGUUGCAGUUAAAAAGCUCGUAGUUGAAUUUCGGGGUUAGUAGGUUGGUCAUGCCUCUGGUAUGUACUGGUCUCACUGAUUCCUCCUUCCAGAUGAGCCGUAAUGCCAUUAAUUUGGUGUUGCGGGGAAUUUGGACUGUUACUUUGAAAAAAUUAGAGUGUUUAAAGCAAGCUAACGCUUGAAUACAUUAGCAUGGAAUAAUGAAAUAGGACGUUCGAUCCUAUUUUGUUGGUUUCUAGGAUUGACGUAAUGAUUAAUAGGGAUAGUUGGGGGCAUUAGUAUUCAAUUGUCAGAGGUGAAAUUCUUGGAUUUAUUGAAGACUAACUACUGCGAAAGCAUUUGCCAAGGAUGUUUUCAUUAAUCAAGAACGAAAGUUAGGGGAUCGAAGACGAUCAGAUACCGUCGUAGUCUUAACCAUAAACUAUGCCGACUAGGGAUCGGAUGAUGUUAAUUUUUUAAUGACUCA